This 497-nucleotide ribosomal RNA is filed under the name uncultured bacterium. RNAcentral's name for it is "partial 16S ribosomal RNA". It matches the Rfam family "Bacterial small subunit ribosomal RNA", at positions 28 to 507 of the family's 1533-position model. The record is from RNAcentral.
GAUGAACGCUGGCGGCGUGCCUAAUACAUGCAAGUCGAGCGAACAGAUGAGGAGCUUGCUCCUCUGACGUUUGCGGCGGACGGGUGAGUAACACGUGGAUAACCUACCUAUAAGACUGGGAUAACUUCGGGAAACCGGAGCUAAUACCGGAUAAUAUAUUGAACCGUAUGGUUCAAUAGUAAAAUACGGUUUUGCUGUUACUAAUAGAUGGUUCCGUGCCGCAUUAGCUAGUUGGUAAGGUAACGGCUUACCAAGGCAACGAUGAGUAGCCGACCUGAGAGGGUGAUCGGCCACCCUGGAACUGAGACACGGUCCAGCCUCCUACGGGAGGCAGCAGUAGGGAAUCUUCCGCAAUGGGCGAAAGCCUGACGGAGCAACGCCGCGUGAGUGAUGAAGGUCUUCGGAUCGUAAAACUCUGUUAUUAGGGAAGAACAAAUGUGUAAGUAACUAUGCACGUCUUGACGGUACCUAAUCAGAAAGCCACGGCUAACUACGUG